GGGGAAAGGUUUACUGCCGAAGGAUCGGCCCGCGUCUGAUUAGCUUGUUGGUGGGGUAAUGGCCUACCAAGGCGACGAUCAGUAGCUGGUCUGAGAGGAUGAUCAGCCACACUGGGACUGAGACACGGCCCAGACUCCUACGGGAGGCAGCAGUGGGGAAUAUUGGACAAUGGGCGCAAGCCUGAUCCAGCCAUGCCGCGUGAGUGAUGAAGGCCUUAGGGUUGUAAAGCUCUUUUGUCCGGGACGAUAAUGACGGUACCGGAAGAAUAAGCCCCGGCUAACUUCGUGCCAGCAGCCGCGGUAAUACNAAGGGGGCUAGCGUUGCUCG
Molecule: ribosomal RNA, 328 nt
Filed under: uncultured Methylobacterium sp.
Lineage: Bacteria; Pseudomonadati; Pseudomonadota; Alphaproteobacteria; Hyphomicrobiales; Methylobacteriaceae
Description: bacterial SSU rRNA
Rfam family: Bacterial small subunit ribosomal RNA
Source: RNAcentral